RNAcentral lists this long non-coding RNA (866 nucleotides) under Homo sapiens (human). RNAcentral describes it as "non-protein coding lnc-IL31RA-1:6". Lineage: Eukaryota; Metazoa; Chordata; Mammalia; Primates; Hominidae. The record is from RNAcentral.
GGAUUCCGGUGGCUGCGUCCGCGUCGCCUCUCCCAGACUAGAUCGAAGGGUUCCCCCCACCUCCCCUCUGUGGGCGGAAAGAGCGGAAUGUUCCAUUUUUCUGUGGAAUAACGGGGUCAUGAACUGGAGCCCGGGUGCUGCCCGCCGCCCGCUGCCCCCGCCCUCCCUUCUCGCCAGGGCGCCUGCGGCCUCUCUUCGCGGCCUUCCCCGAGGGACUCAGAGCCGCGAGGGACCGCCUAGCUCCCUUGGGGAUGGGGAAGGCGUGGGAGCCUCUUGGGGAAAGUGAAGAGCUCGGUGGCCGUGACUCCGCACGAGACUGCGGCAGAUUGUGGCGGCGGCUUCUCUCCAAGACUUACGUAAACGAGCCUUGCCACAGUACUUUUUUAAAUUAGUAAAUGAGUUUGGGUGCGAUUGAUCAGUGAGCCCCAGAGGUGGUGGCCCACCAAGCGACUAGUGUUUCUUUGCGGUUUGUACCUCCCCGUUUAUGAUAAAAAAUACCGGGUAAAAACCUAUUCAUCCCGCCUCCGCCCCCCCCUUUCCCUCAGAAAAUGGACCUCAAGGCUCAUGAUGUUUGUUUCUCCCCAAAGGAAGAUGAGAAUCUUGAGUUAAAAGAUAAGGCAUGUGCGUGCGUGCGUGUGGGGUGUGUGCGUGGGUGUCUGUAAAAGUAAACACCCAAAGGUAGAGGUUUUUGUGGAAGAAUGAGAGGAUAUAGGAAGGAAAUAAUGGUUUAAUGAACUUAAAUUAUAUCCAUAAAUUAACAAUUAUAAAGUUCUUCAUUAUAUUGAGGAUUCAGAUAGAGUAAAACAUAGAUCGAAUUUUAAUCUCUUAGUUGUUGAUCAGAUAAUUUAUAAAAGGGCAAAGUGGGC